Molecule: transfer RNA, 72 nt
Filed under: Spinacia oleracea (spinach)
Lineage: Eukaryota; Viridiplantae; Streptophyta; Magnoliopsida; Caryophyllales; Amaranthaceae
Description: tRNA-Glu
Rfam family: tRNA
About the family: Transfer RNA (tRNA) molecules are approximately 80 nucleotides in length. Their secondary structure includes four short double-helical elements and three loops (D, anti-codon, and T loops).
Source: RNAcentral
GUCCCUUUCGUUCAGUGGUUAGGACAUCGUCUUUUCAUGUCGACGACACGGGUUCGAUCCCCGUAAGGGAUA